CAGUCGCCACGGUAAUACGUAGGUGGCAAGCGUUGUCCGGAAUUAUUGGGCGUAAAGGGCUCGCAGGCGGUUUCUUAAGUCUGAUGUGGAAGCCCCCGGCUCAACCGGGGAGGGUCAUUGGAAACUGGGAGACUUGAGUGCAGAAGAGGAGAGUGGAAUUCCACGUGUAGCGGUGAAAUGCGUAGAGAUGUGGAGGAACACCAGUGGCGAAGGCGACUCUCUGGUCUGUAACUGACGCUGAGGAGCGAAAGCGUGGGGAGCGAACAGGAUUAGAUACCCCUGUAGUCCCUGUCUCUUAUAC
RNAcentral lists this ribosomal RNA (301 nucleotides) under uncultured bacterium. Its description in RNAcentral is "partial 16S ribosomal RNA". It matches the Rfam family "Bacterial small subunit ribosomal RNA", at positions 509 to 807 of the family's 1533-position model. The record is from RNAcentral.